RNAcentral lists this transfer RNA (76 nucleotides) under Mycoplasmopsis phocirhinis. RNAcentral describes it as "Mycoplasma phocirhinis tRNA-Glu". It matches the Rfam family "tRNA". From Rfam's summary of the family: Transfer RNA (tRNA) molecules are approximately 80 nucleotides in length. Their secondary structure includes four short double-helical elements and three loops (D, anti-codon, and T loops). The record is from RNAcentral. Lineage: Bacteria; Bacillati; Mycoplasmatota; Mycoplasmoidales; Metamycoplasmataceae.
GGUCUGUUGGUGAAGCGGUUAACACACAUGGUUUUCAUCCAUGCACGCACGGGUUCGAUUCCCGUACAGACUGCCA